This 301-nucleotide ribosomal RNA is filed under the name uncultured bacterium. Its description in RNAcentral is "partial 16S ribosomal RNA". It matches the Rfam family "Bacterial small subunit ribosomal RNA", at positions 509 to 807 of the family's 1533-position model. The record is from RNAcentral.
CAGUCGCCGCGGUAAUACAGAGGGUGCGAGCGUUAAUCGGAUUUACUGGGCGUAAAGCGUGCGUAGGCGGCUUUUUAAGUCGGAUGUGAAAUCCCUGAGCUUAACUUAGGAAUUGCAUUCGAUACUGGGAAGCUAGAGUAUGGGAGAGGAUGGUAGAAUUCCAGGUGUAGCGGUGAAAUGCGUAGAGAUCUGGAGGAAUACCGAUGGCGAAGGCAGCCAUCUGGCAUAAUACUGACGCUGAGGUACGAAAGCAUGGGGAGCAAACAGGAUUAGAUACCCGAGUAGUCCCUGUCUCUUAUAC